CUCAGACAGCCAGGAUGUUGGCUUAGAAGCAGCCAUCAUUUAAAGAAAGCGUAAUAGCUCACUGGUCGAGUCGGCCUGCGCGGAAGAUGUAACGGGGCUAAACUAUGCACCGAAGCUGCGGCAGCGAUAUUUAGAUAUUGUUGGGUAGGGGAGCGUUCUGUAAGCCUGUGAAGGUGUGCUGUGAGGCAUGCUGGAGGUAUCAGAAGUGCGAAUGCUGACAUAAGUAACGAUAAUGCGGGUGAAAAACCCGCACGCCGGAAGACCAAGGGUUCCUGUCCAACGUUAAUCGGGGCAGGGUGAGUCGACCCCUAAGGCGAGGCAGAAAUGCGUAGUCGAUGGGAAACGGGUUAAUAUUCCCGUACUGGUGAUAAUUGCGAUGGGGGGACGGAGAAGGCUAGGCUAUCCGGGCGACGGUUGUCCCGGUUUAAGGAUGUAGGCAGGUGAAUUAGGCAAAUCCGGUUCACUAUAUGCUGAGGUCCGACGACGAGUCACUACGGUGAUGAAGUAGCUCAUGCCCCGCUUCCAGGAAAAGCCUCUAAGCUCUAGAUUAUCAUUAAUCGUACCCCAAACCGACACAGGUGGUCAGGUAGAGAAUACUCAGGCGCUUGA
Molecule: ribosomal RNA, 609 nt
Filed under: Providencia rettgeri
Lineage: Bacteria; Pseudomonadati; Pseudomonadota; Gammaproteobacteria; Enterobacterales; Morganellaceae
Description: partial 23S ribosomal RNA
Rfam family: Bacterial large subunit ribosomal RNA
Source: RNAcentral